CGACGAGUGGCGACUUGAGAAGUGCCGGCUGCGCCCCCAUAAUCCGAGACAUGGUUGUAACUCCGGCGAGCUGGAGGCGUUCUGGACAGGGGUUCGAUUCCCCUCACCUCCACCCAAGCGCAUACGGUGUGCUUCGGUGGGGGUGUACUGGUUUCGACAGGGCGGGCAAAGGUUAGCAGGCAACCCGAAAGGCGACGGACGUAAUCCGCGCAAAUCCAUAAACGCCAACGAUGAGCGUUUCGCACUGGCCGCUUAAGGCUAGAGCCGGGGCCGCGGAAGCGUGGGAGCCCAGGACAGCCGGUGGGGGCGUCGGCCCCCAGCGUCA
RNAcentral lists this transfer-messenger RNA (325 nucleotides) under Rhodocyclaceae bacterium. It matches the Rfam family "Betaproteobacteria transfer-messenger RNA". Rfam says of the family: Bacterial tmRNA, also known as 10Sa RNA or SsrA, is named for its dual tRNA and mRNA-like properties. Its role is to liberate the mRNA from a stalled ribosome. The record is from RNAcentral. Lineage: Bacteria; Pseudomonadati; Pseudomonadota; Betaproteobacteria; Rhodocyclales; Rhodocyclaceae.